UUCUAAAGAUCAAGGUCGCUACACACGGUGGAAAUCUCUCGGUCUCUCUCCCAACGCGAGAGGCGGUUUCCAGGCGGGCUGCCUCCACUGGUCUCCAUCGCCUCCGGUAAGCCGUCGGGCUCUCGGAGGUGUGCGGGACAGUGUACGACCGCGAGGCGGUUGUAGAUAAUGUUGUUUUAGAAUUUUAUUCUGGCACUGGCGGGCAGGUAGGGGCGACGUCAACGCUGUGGGAUAAGGUUCCCCCUGGCUCCUUUCCCGUCUCCGCGGUGAUCCCUCCGGCCGGUGGCACUGCGGGGUUAGGGAGGUUGGCCUCUCUCUUAUCCGGCGAGGUUUGGUCGGUGAUGGGGGUGCACAAUAGUAUAGAAGUUGGGAUUUGUGGAGAGGGAUUCCCAGAUCAGGUCGCCUCGGACGGCCGACAGCUGCGCACUGUUGCGGGCGAAGUGGUUUGAGUUGCGGCUCCACUCCGUCAUAGGCUGCCGCUGGUCAAGGGAUCACUUGGUCUACCCCAGGCCGAUGCACCAGAACCCUCCCUGGUUCCGUCUUUUGGGGAGGGACUUAUAUGCGGCUCACAAAGCCAUGGAUUGGCGAUGCUGCUCCUCAUGCCCGUUGUCUUGUGGAUGACGGCUAGCACCGGCGAGUGCAGAGAUCAGCGUGCCUGGGUGAAUAAGGAAGAUGAACUGGGCUGUAAGUUACUUUGUUUUCUCUGUCGGCGUUAUUCCCUUUAGUGUUAUCUCUGCCUCUCUAGUUCUCAACCUCCAACGACAUGCCCUUUUUUGUGCUGGCCAUGGAGGCUAGCAGCGGCAGGACUGCCAUGACUAGGCCGCGCAAUAUUUCUAACAGUGUUGAGCUACUCGUUCCCGACAGCUCCGGUGCCAAGCUGCCAAGCAGGUAUGUGUGUGAUGGAUCUUUUAAUUUUAAGUUUGCUUCCUGUUCGAUUAGGUGCAUAUUUCGCAAGAUAAUGUUGUUCUAUCAUGUCUCUGAUUUUGAUUUCGAUUUUGAUUUUUCCUGCAGAUUUCAGGAUAUAGAAGGCAGCUUCAGGAAGGGGUCGCUGACGAGGUGAGACCAUUGCGUCUAUUCUUGUGUUAGUUUGUUUCAAAGAAAUCACACUAAUUUCUCUCAGUAUACUCUGCAGAGAAAUAAGUACUGAAGCAGGCUUCACCGAAGACUACUGAUCUAGAAUUGUUUGUUGCUGAAAUAAGUCCAGGAGCGGUGGAGCAGGCUGAACAAUUUUCUGUUGAUUUUACUGAAUGGAUUGUCCCUGUAAUUUGACCAAACGUCAUGUCGCCGUGCCACUGAAGUUUUUGCACAGAAUUCUUGUCUUUUUGGGUGGUGCCAAGCUGUCUUUUUGUUGAACAAUGCCACAAUUGCAUAGUUGUAAGUUAUUUAGGAUUGUCUCUAUUGCAUACGACCUGGAGUUACAAGAGGUCCAGUACUAAUUUUGUGUAUGUAUGUACAUGUGCAGUCACCCAUUUUCUAUACACAAGAUUCCAAAGCAUCUUUUACUGUACAUUUUGUUUCUUUUCUCGGUACAAAAUGUAUUGCAAGUGUUGUUCAUUUUUUCCCUUCUCUAAAUAUACUAGAGACCCUCUAAGGGCUCAGUUUUCUUCCCGUUUGUCUGAAUAUACCCAGAUUUAUUUUGUGUGUGCGUAUUUAACAAAGCAUUUAGUUA
Molecule: long non-coding RNA, 1669 nt
Filed under: Triticum aestivum (bread wheat)
Lineage: Eukaryota; Viridiplantae; Streptophyta; Magnoliopsida; Poales; Poaceae
Description: long non-coding RNA (TAES_LNC022513)
Source: RNAcentral